RNAcentral lists this ribosomal RNA (456 nucleotides) under uncultured bacterium. RNAcentral's name for it is "bacterial SSU rRNA". It matches the Rfam family "Bacterial small subunit ribosomal RNA", at positions 335 to 800 of the family's 1533-position model. The record is from RNAcentral.
ACUCCUACGGGAGGCAGCAGUGGGGAAUAUUGCACAAUGGGCGCAAGCCUGAUGCAGCGACGCCGCGUGGGGAUGACGGCCUUCGGGUUGUAAACUCCUUUCGCUAGGGAAGAAGCCACUUUAGUGGUGACGGUACCUGGAUAAGAAGCACCGGCUAACUACGUGCCAGCAGCCGCGGUAAUACGUAGGGUGCGAGCGUUGUCCGAAUUACUGGGCGUAAAGAGCUCGUAGGUGGUUUGUCGCGUCGUCUGUGAAAUCCCGGGGCUUAACUUCGGGNUGCAGGCGAUACGGGCAUACUAGAGUGCUGUAGGGAGACUGGAAUUCCUGGUGUAGCGGUGAAAUGCGCAGAUAUCAGGAGGAACACCGAUGGCGAAGGCAGGUCUCUGGGCAGUUACUGACGCUGAGGAGCGAAAGCAUGGGUAGCGAACAGGAUUAGAUACCCUGGUAGCUACGAGU